Molecule: regulatory RNA element, 122 nt
Organism: Pelosinus sp.
Lineage: Bacteria; Bacillati; Bacillota; Negativicutes; Selenomonadales; Sporomusaceae
Rfam family: pan motif
Source: Rfam
UAGGUGGUAUCGUAAUGAACCAUACUAUAAAAAAGGAAUCUUCAGCUGUGAAGGAUCAAUAUAGCUAUAUGUUAAUACUGGUAUUAUAUCCGCUUAGAUCUAUGAUGGACUGAGACGGGAGG